RNA transcript from Rhinopithecus roxellana (golden snub-nosed monkey), 824 nucleotides. It is a transcript of the gene named SIN3-HDAC complex-associated factor pseudogene, with no coding region annotated. Lineage: Eukaryota; Metazoa; Chordata; Mammalia; Primates; Cercopithecidae. The transcript has a single exon. The record is from RefSeq and is a predicted model, not a curated record.
GGCAGUUGAGGAGGAGGGAGCGCUUGAGGGGGACUGACUGGCCUGGCGUGCACUCCGCACCUCGGGGACGUUAUUGCGCGUGGAACGGCUGCUUUUGGAAGACUAUUGCCCAGAAGAAAAGAUGUUUGGUUUUCACAAGCCAAAGAUGUACCGAAGUAUAGAGGGCUGCUGUAUUUGCAGAGCUAAGUCCUCCAGUUCUCGAUUCACUGACAGUAAACGCUAUGAAAAGGACUUCCAGAGCUGUUUUGGAUUGCAUGAGACUCUGCAAUGCCUGUGUCCUGCUUGUGAAAAGAUGGAAGAAGUUGCCAGCAGGAUCAAAAAAAAACUGGAAUCAUGUGGUAGAUGCAAGGGCUGGACCCAGUCUAAAGACUACAUUGAAACCAAAGAAAGUGAAAACUCUAUCUGGGAACAGGAUAAAAAGCAACCAGAUCAGUAAACUGCAGAAGGAAUUUAAACGUCAUAAUUCUGAUGCUCACAGUACCACCUCAAGUGCCUCCCCAGCUCAAUCUCCUUGUUACAGUAACCAGUCAGAUGACGGCUCAGAUACAGAGAUGGCUUCUGGUUCUAACAGAACACCAGUUUUUUCCUUUUUAGAUCUCACAUACUGGAAAAGACAGAAGAUAUGUUGUGGGAUCAUCUAUAAAGGCCGUUUUGGGGAAGUCCUCAUUGACACACAUCUCUUCAAGCCUUGCUGCAGCAACAAGAAAGCAGCUGCCGAGAAGCCAGAGGAGCAGGGGCCAGAGCCCCUGCCCAUCUCCACUCAGGAGUGGUGACUGAGGUUUUUAUGUAGAAGGGGAACAAAAAAAAAAACAUCUAAAUUUUGA